RNAcentral lists this ribosomal RNA (868 nucleotides) under uncultured organism. RNAcentral's name for it is "bacterial SSU rRNA". It matches the Rfam family "Bacterial small subunit ribosomal RNA", at positions 36 to 934 of the family's 1533-position model. The record is from RNAcentral.
UUAGCGGCAUGGCUAAAACAUGCAAGUCGAGCGCGAAAGUCCCUUCGGGGGCGAGUAGAGCGGCGAAAGGGCGAGUAACGCGUUUCUACGUACCCCGAGGUCGGGGAUAGCCCGGGGAAACCCGGAUUAAUACCCGAUGUGGUCCUUCGGGAUCAAAGGCUUGCCGCCUCGGGAGCGGGGAACGUCCUAUCAGGUUGUUGGUGAGGUAACGGCUCACCAAGCCUAAGACGGGUAGCGGGUGUGAGAGCAUGACCCGCCGCAUCGGAACUGAGACACUGUCCGGACUCCUACGGGAGGCUGCAGUAACGAAUCUUCCGCAAUGCGCGAAAGCGUGACGGAGCAAUGCCGCGUGCAGGAUGAAGCUCCUCGGAGUGUAAACUGCUGUCAGAGUUCAGCAACACAAUGAGCAGACUCAAAGGAAGGACCGGCUAAGUUCGUGCCAGCAGCCGCGGUAAUACGAACGGUCCGAGCGUUGCGCGGAAUCACUGGGCUUAAAGCGUACGUAGGCGGACGCGCAGGCGUUUUGUGAAAGCCCUCGGCUCAACCGAGGAAUUGCUUGACGAACCGCGCGUCUUGAGGCAGGUAGGGGCUGUCGGAACGAUAGGUGGAGUGGUGAAAUGCGUUGAUAUCUAUCGGAACGCCGAAGGAGAAAUCAGGCAGCUGGGCCUGUCCUGACGCUGAGGUACGAAAGCGUGGGUAGCGAACGGGAUUAGAUACCCCGGUAGUCCACGCCGUAAACGAUGUGCACUAGAUCGAGGGGGUUCUGACACCGCUCUUGGUCGAAGCGAAAGUGUUAAGUGCACCGCCUGGGGAGUACGGUCGCAAGGCUUAAACUCAAAGGAAUUGACGGUGGCUCACACAAGCGGUG